This 465-nucleotide ribosomal RNA is filed under the name uncultured bacterium. RNAcentral's name for it is "partial 16S ribosomal RNA". It matches the Rfam family "Bacterial small subunit ribosomal RNA", at positions 338 to 795 of the family's 1533-position model. The record is from RNAcentral.
CCUACGGGUGGCAGCAGUAGGGAAUCUUCCGCAAUGGACGAAAGUCUGAUGGAGCAACGCCGCGUGAGGGAAGAAGGGUUUCGGCUCGUAAAGCUCUGUUGGUAGGGAAGAAAGAUAGCGGUAGUAACUGGCCUUUAUUUGACGGUAAUUACUUAGAAAGUCACGGCUAACUACGUGCCAGCAGCCGCGGUAAUACGUAGGUGGCAAGCGUUGUCCGGAUUUAUUGGGCGUAAAGCGAGUGCAGGCGGUUUGAUAAGUCUGAUGUGAAAGCCUUGGGCUCAACAGGGGAACUGCAUCAGAAACGGGCGAACUUGAGUGUAGAAGAGGAGAGUGGAAUUCCAUGUGUAGCGGUGGAAUGCGUAGAUAUAUGGAAGAACAUCAGUGGCGAAGGCGACUAUCUGGCACGCAACUGACGCUGAGGAGCGAAAGCAUGGGUAGCGAACAGGAUUAGAUACCCGGGUAGUC